RNAcentral lists this ribosomal RNA (1748 nucleotides) under Photobacterium kishitanii. Its description in RNAcentral is "bacterial LSU rRNA". It matches the Rfam family "Bacterial large subunit ribosomal RNA", at positions 1218 to 2925 of the family's 2925-position model. Lineage: Bacteria; Pseudomonadati; Pseudomonadota; Gammaproteobacteria; Vibrionales; Vibrionaceae. The record is from RNAcentral.
UUCACAUUGGGUAGGGGAGCGUUCUGUAAGCCGUUGAAGGUGCAUUGUAAAGUGUGCUGGAGGUAUCAGAAGUGCGAAUGCUGACAUGAGUAACGAUAAAGGGAGUGAAAAACUCCCUCGCCGGAAGAUCAAGGGUUCCUGUCCAACGUUAAUCGGGGCAGGGUAAGUCGACCCCUAAGGCGAGGCCGAAAGGCGUAGUCGAUGGGAAACGGGUUAAUAUUCCCGUACUUCUUAUAAUUGCGAUGGAGGGACGGAGAAGGCUAGGUGAGCCUGGCGACGGUUGUCCAGGUCCAAGUAUGUAGGCUGAUGAAUUAGGCAAAUCCGGUUCAUCUUAAGGCUGAGAUACGAUGUCGAGCUACUACGGUAGUGAAGUCAUUGAUGCCAUGCUUCCGGGAAAAGCUUCUAAGCUUCAGAUUAUAAGAAAUCGUACCCCAAACCGACACAGGUGAUCAGGUAGAGAAUACCAAGGCGCUUGAGAGAACUCGGGUGAAGGAACUAGGCAAAAUGGUACCGUAACUUCGGGAGAAGGUACGCUCCUAGCGGUGAUGAGACUUGCUCUCUAAGCUGCCGGGAGUCGCAGAUACCAGGUGGCUGCAACUGUUUAUUAAAAACACAGCACUGUGCAAAAUCGAAAGAUGACGUAUACGGUGUGACGCCUGCCCGGUGCCGGAAGGUUAAUUGAUGGGGUUAGACUUCGGUCGAAGCUCUUGAUCGAAGCCCCGGUAAACGGCGGCCGUAACUAUAACGGUCCUAAGGUAGCGAAAUUCCUUGUCGGGUAAGUUCCGACCUGCACGAAUGGCGUAAUGAUGGCCACGCUGUCUCCACCCGAGACUCAGUGAAAUUGAAAUCGCAGUGAAGAUGCUGUGUACCCGCGGCUAGACGGAAAGACCCCGUGAACCUUUACUAUAGCUUGGCACUGAACAUUGACCCUACAUGUGUAGGAUAGGUGGGAGACGUUGAAGCAACCGCGCCAGUGGUUGUGGAGUCAAUCUUGAAAUACCACCCUUGUAUGCUUGAUGUUCUAACGUUGGCCCCUUAUCGGGGUUACGGACAGUGCCUGGUGGGUAGUUUGACUGGGGCGGUCUCCUCCCAAAGAGUAACGGAGGAGCACGAAGGUGGGCUAAUCACGGUCGGACAUCGUGAGGUUAGUGCAAUGGCAUAAGCCCGCUUGACUGCGAGAAUGACAAUUCGAGCAGGUGCGAAAGCAGGUCAUAGUGAUCCGGUGGUUCUGAAUGGAAGGGCCAUCGCUCAACGGAUAAAAGGUACUCCGGGGAUAACAGGCUGAUACCGCCCAAGAGUUCAUAUCGACGGCGGUGUUUGGCACCUCGAUGUCGGCUCAUCACAUCCUGGGGCUGAAGUCGGUCCCAAGGGUAUGGCUGUUCGCCAUUUAAAGUGGUACGCGAGCUGGGUUUAGAACGUCGUGAGACAGUUCGGUCCCUAUCUGCCGUGGGCGUUGGAUGAUUGAGAGGGGCUGCUCCUAGUACGAGAGGACCGGAGUGGACGAACCGCUGGUGUUCGGGUUGUAUCGCCAGAUGCAUUGCCCGGUAGCUAAGUUCGGAAUCGAUAACCGCUGAAAGCAUCUAAGCGGGAAGCGAGCCUCAAGAUGAGUCAUCCCUAGACCUUUAAGGUCUCUAAAGGGUUGUUGAAGACUACAACGUUGAUAGGUCAGGUGUGUAAGUGCUGCGAGGCAUUGAGCUAACUGAUACUAAUUGCCCGUGAGGCUUAACCAUACAACACCCAAGGGGUUU